Molecule: non-coding RNA, 211 nt
Filed under: Alkalithermobacter thermoalcaliphilus
Lineage: Bacteria; Bacillati; Bacillota; Clostridia; Peptostreptococcales; Tepidibacteraceae
Description: Clostridium paradoxum T-box sequence
Rfam family: T-box leader
About the family: Uncharged tRNA acts as the effector for transcription antitermination of genes in the T-box leader family. T-boxes are found upstream of many aminoacyl-tRNA synthetase genes and some amino acid biosynthetic genes usually in Gram-positive bacteria.
Source: RNAcentral
AAAGAAGCUAUGAUGAGAAAUAGUAAAAGUACGAUGCUUUACAGAGAGGGAAUUGUUGCUGAGAGAUUCCUAAGCUUAGUAUUUUGAACCAGUCUCGGAGCUUAAAGACUGAAAUUUGAGUAUGUCUUUACGGGUAAAACCGUUAGAUUAUAAGAGUGAGCACAAUGCUUACUAGAGUGGUACCGCGGAAGGAAUAUCUUUCGUCUCUAGA